RNAcentral lists this ribosomal RNA (253 nucleotides) under uncultured bacterium. Its description in RNAcentral is "partial 16S ribosomal RNA". It matches the Rfam family "Bacterial small subunit ribosomal RNA", at positions 524 to 776 of the family's 1533-position model. The record is from RNAcentral.
UACGUAGGUGGCAAGCGUUGUCCGGAUUUACUGGGCGUAAAGAGCGCGCAGGCGGUCGUUCAAGUCGGGUGUGAAAGCCCCCGGCUCAACUGGGGAGGGUCACGCGAUACUGAUCGACUCGAAGGCAGGAGAGGGUAGUGGAAUUCCCGGUGUAGUGGUGAAAUGCGUAGAUAUCGGGAGGAACACCAGUGGCGAAGGCGACUACCUGGCCUGUUCUUGACGCUGAGGCGCGAAAGCUAGGGGAGCAAACGGG